UGGGGGAUAUUGCACAAUGGGGGAAACCCUGAUGCAGCGACGCCGCGUGAGGGAAGACGGUUUUCGGAUUGUAAACCUCUGUCUUCAGGGACGAAGAAAUGACGGUACCUGAAGAGGAAGCCACGGCUAACUACGUGCCAGCAGCCGCGGUAAUACGUAGGUGGCAAGCGUUGUCCGGAAUUAUUGGGUGUAAAGGGAGCGUAGGCGGGCGAUCAAGUUGAAUGUUAAAACUAUCGGCUUAACUGGUAGUUGCUUUCAAAACUGGUUGUCUUGAGUGAAGUAGAGGCAGGCGGAAUUCCUAGUGUAGCGGUGAAAUGCGUAGAUAUUAGGAGGAACACCAGUGGCGAAGGCGGCCUGCUGGGCUUUUACUGACGCUGAGGCUCGAAAGCGUGGGUAGCAAACAGG
RNAcentral lists this ribosomal RNA (405 nucleotides) under uncultured prokaryote. Its description in RNAcentral is "bacterial SSU rRNA". It matches the Rfam family "Bacterial small subunit ribosomal RNA", at positions 355 to 776 of the family's 1533-position model. The record is from RNAcentral. RNAcentral also lists the same sequence under 1 other name.